GUGGGUUCGGUUAUCUGGAUCCGUGUCGAAGCUGACGCGUUAAGUGAUCCGCCUGGGGACUACGGUCGCAAGAUUAAAACUCAAAGGAAUUGACGGGGGUCCGCACAAGCGGUGGAACAUGUGGUUUAAUUCGACACUACGCGAGGAACCUUACCUAGGCUUGACAUGUGGGUGACCGCUGUAGAAAUACAGUUUUCCAAGUUUACUUGGACAGUUACACAGGUGCUGCAUGGCUGUCGUCAGCUCGUGUCGUGAGAUGUUGGGUUAAGUCCUUUAACGAGCGCAACCCUUGCCGUCAGUUGCUACUCUUUUAUUAGAGGCACUCUGGCGGGACUGCCUAGGAAACUAGGAGGAAGGUGGGGAUGACGUCAAGUCCUCAUGGCCCUUAUGCCUAGGGCAACACACGUGUUACAAUGGCUAGUACAAAGGGCAGCGAACCCGCGAGGGGGAGCUAAUCUCAUAAAGCUAGUCUAAGUUCGGAUUGGAGUCUGCAACCCGACUCCAUGAAGUUGAAAUCGCUAGUAAUCGCGUAUCAGAACGACGCGGUGAAUACGUUCUCGGACCUUGUACACACCGCCCGUCACACCACGAAAAUCGUCUACACCCGAAAUUAUUUUAGCUAACCCGUAAGGGAGGCGGAUAAUGAAGGUGAGGAGGGUAAUUGGGGUGAAGUCGUAACAAGGUAGCCG
This 689-nucleotide ribosomal RNA is filed under the name uncultured bacterium. Its description in RNAcentral is "bacterial SSU rRNA". It matches the Rfam family "Bacterial small subunit ribosomal RNA", at positions 822 to 1502 of the family's 1533-position model. The record is from RNAcentral.